RNAcentral lists this long non-coding RNA (562 nucleotides) under Homo sapiens (human). RNAcentral's name for it is "non-protein coding lnc-LONRF2-3:1". The record is from RNAcentral. Lineage: Eukaryota; Metazoa; Chordata; Mammalia; Primates; Hominidae.
UUGUGUGUCAGACACAGUUCUAGACCCUGUAGUGGAAGCAAACUACUUUCUUAUUGGAGCUUAUAUAUUUGUGGUCCGGAUAAUCAGAAAAAAAACAAUAUAUUUCAGAUUGGAAUAUACUUAUGCUCUAGAGAAAAUGAAGUGAGUGCGGGGCGCAUAAUGGUGAUUGCAGGUGAAAGGCAGCACUCGCUGGGGUGGCUGCGGAGGGCCCUCUGUGGGGUGACAUUUGACCUGAGAUCGGAGAGUUAACUACUGCACGGAGGUUUCGGGAGAAAGCCUUUCAAUAUGUCCAUUUUUUUUACAUUCUCUCUCAUUGCUUUAAUGAUUAAGAAAUGCCAGCCCCUGCCUUUCUUUCUUGUUUUUUAAUGGCUUCAUUUAAAAAUAAUUAUUCUUUAAUUUAUUGGAAUUCAUUUUUUUAAAUGCAAGGUAGGAAUAAAAUGUAUUUUUUCCCAAAUAUUUUACCUGUUAUUCUGAAAUCUAAAAGUAAGUUGAUUGAAGCGCCCACUUUUCUUCAUGGAUUUGUAAUUAUAUGAAGUUAGGUUUUAGAAAAGUUGGUAGGAUA